Molecule: ribosomal RNA, 468 nt
Filed under: uncultured bacterium
Lineage: Bacteria
Description: partial 16S ribosomal RNA
Rfam family: Bacterial small subunit ribosomal RNA
Source: RNAcentral
GACGAACGCUGGCGGCGUGCUUAACACAUGCAAGUCGAACGGAAAGGCCCUGCUUUUGUGGGGUGCUCGAGUGGCGAACGGGUGAGUAACACGUGAGUAACCUGCCCUUGACUUUGGGAUAACUUCAGGAAACUGGGGCUAAUAUCGGAUAGGAGCUCCUGCUGCAUGGUGGGGGUUGGAAAGUUUCGGCGGUUGGGGAUGGACUCGCGGCUUAUCAGCUUGUUGGUGGGGUAGUGGCUUACCAAGGCUUUGACGGGUAGCCGGCCUGAGAGGGUGACCGGCCACAUUGGGACUGAGAUACGGCGCAGACUCGUACGGGAGGCAGCGGUGGGGAAUAUUGCACAAUGGGCGGAAGCCUGAUGCAGCAACGCCGCGUGCGGGAUGACGGCCUUCGGGUUGUAAACCGCUUUCGCCUGUGACGAAGCGUGAGUGACGGUAAUGGGUAAAGAAGCACCGGCUAACUACGUG